Molecule: long non-coding RNA, 518 nt
Organism: Oreochromis aureus
Lineage: Eukaryota; Metazoa; Chordata; Actinopteri; Cichliformes; Cichlidae
Exons: 3
Source: RefSeq, a predicted model, not a curated record
ACGGUGGCCCUGAGAGGUCAAACACAGUACAACGAGCAAACAGAAAUAUGCUGCAAACGCACACUGAACACAGCUGAAGUGUUUCUGGGGACGAGAUAACGGGACGGACCAGCUGCAGAAGUGACAGAAAACGUGAAGGAUGGCAGCGACACACUUUAAUGAAGCGGCGUUGUCUUUGAAUCACAUGAUUCUCGUGGGUCAGGCUGUCAAACUGAUCUUAUAGGUUAGAAUGAAGAAUGAAACUGAGGCAGCCACAUGAUGGACAGAAGUUUCAGGUGGAGGAAGAACAGCAGGCUGCUCUGCUGCUGCUCAUUACACAGAUCGGAGAUUCUGAAGAGCUUUUAUGAACGGUACAACUGCAGAAGUCAGAGGACACUUUCAGACCCGGCCCUGUGGGACGUGAACAUCUGUACAAUAUUCAAACCAAGCUGCUGACGGAGCUCAGCUGGAAACCCUGCGACCCAGCCCGGCGCUGCACAGGACGAGAAAUGGAGCCUUUGUGGCUGUUUUACAUAGAA